GGGGAAUAUUGGACAAUGGGCGAAAGCCUGAUCCAGCCAUGCCGCGUGUGUGAAGAAGGUCUUCGGAUUGUAAAGCACUUUAAGUUGGGAGGAAGGGCAGUAAAUUAAUACUUUGCUGUUUUGACGUUACCGACAGAAUAAGCACCGGCUAACUCUGUGCCAGCAGCCGCGGUAAUACAGAGGGUGCAAGCGUUAAUCGGAAUUACUGGGCGUAAAGCGCGCGUAGGUGGUUCGUUAAGUUGGAUGUGAAAUCCCCGGGCUCAACCUGGGAACUGCAUUCAAAACUGACGAGCUAGAGUAUGGUAGAGGGUGGUGGAAUUUCCUGUGUAGCGGUGAAAUGCGUAGAUAUAGGAAGGAACACCAGUGGCGAAGGCGACCACCUGGACUGAUACUGACACUGAGGUGCGAAAGCGUGGGGAGCAAAACAGGAUUAGAUACCCUGGUAGUCCACGCCGUAAACGAUGUCAACUAGCCGUUGGGAGCCUUGAGCUCUUAGUGGCGCAGCUAACGCAUUAAGUUGACCGCCUGGGGAGUACGGCCGCAAGGUUAAAAGC
This 554-nucleotide ribosomal RNA is filed under the name uncultured bacterium. Its description in RNAcentral is "partial 16S ribosomal RNA". It matches the Rfam family "Bacterial small subunit ribosomal RNA", at positions 356 to 901 of the family's 1533-position model. The record is from RNAcentral.